Gossypium arboreum is the source of this 1052-nucleotide long non-coding RNA. RefSeq lists it as uncharacterized. The transcript has 5 exons. NCBI's taxonomy places the organism in Eukaryota, Viridiplantae, Streptophyta, Magnoliopsida, Malvales, Malvaceae. The record is from RefSeq and is a predicted model, not a curated record.
GAAGAGAAAUAUUCGUUGUUUGGAUUUUUUCCUCUAGUCAGCAGCCGACUCCCUUAGUCACUUAACACUUUUCUAAAUCCCUAGCCACCAUCACUUCCUUACCCUCGUAAUUCCUUUUCCCAUAGCCACUCCAACACCCACUGGCCACCAGUCGGUACUCGGUAGUCACCACCCUUUUCACUUUCUCUUUUUUCCUCUUCCCACUAUCGCCACCAACCCACCACCAUCAGAAACCAGAAAUCAACCCACAGCCGACUCCCUCUUUCCCUCUUCUCUUUUUCAUCUUCCCACUGUUGUGUUUCAAGCAAACUCACCACUCUCUCCAAAAUCCGACCUCCAGCGUUCUCCUCAUAACUUCACUAGGGGAUUUCUUGUCGAGUGAGUUUCAAACCCUAAUUCUUUCCAAUUUUGCAUGUUUAUGUUAUGUUUGUAUACUGCUGUAUUCUUUCUUGGCAGUGUUGCAAUAGCUGGAAUUUUACAUGUUAUAGCAUUGAAGAUAUUUGAUAAGAGUGCAAGAUGCUCACAAGGGAAAUUCCAUAAAAAUUACAGAGGAUAGCCUGUUGGGGUUGAAGUAUGAUCCUACAUCGAUUUGGGGUUAUUUUGAGCUUCACAUUGAACAAGGACCUGUACUAGAAUUGGUUGGUUUUCCUCUUGCUGUAGUUAAAGGCAUAGCUGGACAGACAUGAAUGAAGAUGAUGAAGCAAAGGCACAAAGUGGAGAGAGAAGCAAACAUUAUGCGGAAAUUGGAUGGUCAAAGAAUCAGGAACUUGCCAAGACUAAUCCAAAGCUUGUAGCCAUGAACAAGAAAUUUGGAAUGAUUCAUGGGUUAUCUUCAAUUGCAAGAAUUUUCAAACUCAUUUGUUUACUUCUGUACAUUGGGUUGGAUGCUGGUUGCAUACAUUUCCGGCUAAAUGUUAUGUAUUUUAAUUGCUGGAUUGAUUUUUGUUGUGAAUAUUCAACAUUUAUUUUACUUUUACUUUUAUAUUUUUUAAAUGUAUUUAAAGCACAAUUUCUAUCAUUGUUCACUAUAAAUAUUUAUGAAAAUAAAUUAA